CACGUAGGGCGCAAGCGUUGUCCGGAAUUAUUGGGCGUAAAGAGCUCGUAGGCGGUCUGUUGCGUCCGCUGUGAAAACUCGGGGCUUAACCCCGAGCCUGCAGUGGAUACGGGCAGACUAGAGGUAGGUAGGGGAGAAUGGAAUUCCCGGUGUAGCGGUGAAAUGCGCAGAUAUCGGGAGGAACACCGGUGGCGAAGGCGGUUCUCUGGGCCAUUACUGACGCUGAGGAGCGAAGGCGUGGGGAGCAAACAGG
Molecule: ribosomal RNA, 253 nt
Filed under: uncultured bacterium
Lineage: Bacteria
Description: partial 16S ribosomal RNA
Rfam family: Bacterial small subunit ribosomal RNA
Source: RNAcentral